RNAcentral lists this ribosomal RNA (497 nucleotides) under uncultured bacterium. RNAcentral describes it as "partial 16S ribosomal RNA". It matches the Rfam family "Bacterial small subunit ribosomal RNA", at positions 28 to 507 of the family's 1533-position model. The record is from RNAcentral.
GAUGAACGCUGGCGGCGUGCCUAAUACAUGCAAGUCGAGCGAACGGACGAGAAGCUUGCUCCCCUGAUGUUAGCGGCGGACGGGUGAGUAACACGUGGAUAACCUACCUAUAAGACUGGGAUAACUUCGGGAAACCGGAUCUAAUACCGGAUAAUAUUUUGUACCGCAUGGUUCAAAAGUGAAAGACGGUCUUGCUGUUACUUAUAGAUGGAUCCGCGCUGCAUUAGCUAGUUGGUAAGGUAACGGCUCACCAAGGCAACGAUGCAUAGCCGACCUGAGAGGGUGAUCGGCCACACUGGAACUGAGACACGGUCCAGACUCCUACGGGAGGCAGCAGUGGGGAAUCUUCCGCAAUGGGCGAAAGCCUGACGGAGCAACGCCGCGUGGGUGAUGAAGGUCUUCGGAUCGUAAAACUCUGUUAUUGGGGAAGAACAUAUGUGUAAGUAACUGUGCACAUCUUGACGGUACCUAAUCAGAAAGCCACGGCUAACUACGUG